UAUUUUUGAAUCUAUUAGAAGUUAUUUUUUAUUGUUAUUGAGAUAAUGGCUCAUUUUAUACAAUUUAGAAGAAAUCGGAGAAGUUCAACUUCGAGUGUUUACAUGCAGUUAUUAUCAACUUUAGCAAAUGAUUUGGAUCAUAUGCUUAGUGAACUUUGUACGACUCCACCACCUCCAUAUGAUCGACUUUCCGAGGAGGAUCUUCACACA
Onthophagus taurus is the source of this 210-nucleotide non-coding RNA. The record is from RefSeq and is a predicted model, not a curated record. Lineage: Eukaryota; Metazoa; Arthropoda; Insecta; Coleoptera; Scarabaeidae.